UACAGAGGGUGCGAGCGUUGUUCGGAAUUAUUGGGCGUAAAGGGCGCGUAGGCGGCGCCACAAGUCACUUGUGAAAACUCUGGGCUCAACUCAGAGCCUGCAAGCGAAACUGUGGUGCUGGAGUAUGGGAGAGGUGCGUGGAAUUCCCGGUGUAGCGGUGAAAUGCGUAGAUAUCUGGAGGAACACCGGUGGCGAAGGCGGCAUCCUGGACCGAUACUGACGCUGAGGAGCGAAAGCCAGGGGAGCAAACGGG
This 253-nucleotide ribosomal RNA is filed under the name uncultured bacterium. RNAcentral's name for it is "partial 16S ribosomal RNA". It matches the Rfam family "Bacterial small subunit ribosomal RNA", at positions 524 to 776 of the family's 1533-position model. The record is from RNAcentral.